RNAcentral lists this ribosomal RNA (476 nucleotides) under uncultured bacterium. RNAcentral's name for it is "bacterial SSU rRNA". It matches the Rfam family "Bacterial small subunit ribosomal RNA", at positions 28 to 507 of the family's 1533-position model. The record is from RNAcentral.
GAUGAACGCUAGCGGGAGGCUUAACACAUGCAAGUCGAGGGGUAUAGUAGCAAUACUAGAGACCGGCGCACGGGUGCGUAACGCGUAUGCAAUCUACCUUUUGCAGAGGGAUAGCCCAGAGAAAUUUGGAUUAAUACCUCAUAGUAUAUAUGGAUGGCAUCAUUUAUAUAUUAAAGUCACAACGGCAAAAGAUGAGCAUGCGUCCCAUUAGCUUGUUGGUAAGGUAACGGCUUACCAAGGCAACGAUGGGUAGGGGUCCUGAGAGGGAGAUCCCCCACACUGGUACUGAGACACGGACCAGACUCCUACGGGAGGCAGCAGUGAGGAAUAUUGGACAAUGGGCGCAAGCCUGAUCCAGCCAUGCCGCGUGCAGGAUGACGGUCCUAUGGAUUGUAAACUGCUUUUGCACAGGAAGAAACAACGCUACGUGUAGCGUCUUGACGGUACUGUGAGAAUAAGGAUCGGCUAACUCCGUG